Cheilinus undulatus (humphead wrasse) is the source of this 634-nucleotide long non-coding RNA. RefSeq lists it as uncharacterized. Lineage: Eukaryota; Metazoa; Chordata; Actinopteri; Labriformes; Labridae. The record is from RefSeq and is a predicted model, not a curated record. The transcript has 5 exons.
GUGGAGCAUAACGAGGAGCAGUGACAGGAGCAUGCUGCUGACACAGGAGGAUGACCAUGCCCCCUGCUGUCUGGCAGGACAGCAAUGAGACCUAUGGUCCCAUUACUGCAUCUCAGUGGUUUUCCUGAUCCAUCUGUGGUGCUCCUUGCUCUCUGGACGAAUAACCCUGGCUAUCAGGCAGCUGUUUGAUCUCCAGUCUCUUGGCUGCUACAGCUGCGGGGGUGAUUUGGAAGCAUCUUCCACCUUUCCUUAAGAGCCACUAGAUUUAUCAGACAUCAUGAGAACCAUACCUGCCUGCAUAUGUGUUUGUGUGUGUGCAUGUCAUCAGUCAGCAUCUGUGCAGGUUUGUGCACAGCUGUGACACAGAUCUGCUUCUUCAGAGGGGAUUUCAACACACAGACAAAGACAAGGGGGCCUUGAUGGAAGAAAGGGUUGGAGAAGCACUGCUGUAGACAACUACUGAUGCGAUUCAGGAACUGGAAGGGCCAUCUAAUUUCAUCAGGGAAGAUUUUACCACAGCUUCAUGUAACUCUGUUUCAAAGGAGCACUUGAAGUUGGGGGUAAUGGGUAAAGAAAUGGGGCGGAGCUCCAGUCUCUAUGGGCUUAAUUUUCAUGCUCAUGCAAUAAAAUUACU